GUGGGGAAUAUUGGACAAUGGGCGAAAGCCUGAUCCAGCCAUGCCGCGUGGGUGAAGAAGGCCUUAGGGUUGUAAACCCCUUUCAGCGGGGAAGAUAAUGACGGUACCCGCAGAAGAAGUCCCGGCUAACUCCGUGCCAGCAGCCGCGGUAAUACGGAGGGGACUAGCGUUGUUCGGAAUUACUGGGCGUAAAGCGCACGUAGGCGGAUUUGUAAGUCAGGGGUGAAAUCCCGGGGCUCAACCUCGGAACUGCCUUUGAUACUGCAAAUCUCGAGUCCGGAAGAGGUGAGUGGAAUUCCUAGUGUAGAGGUGAAAUUCGUAGAUAUUAGGAAGAACACCAGUGGCGAAGGCGGCUCACUGGUCCGGUACUGACGCUGAGGUGCGAAAGCGUGGGGAGCAAACAGGAUUAGAAACCCGAGUAGUCC
This 425-nucleotide ribosomal RNA is filed under the name uncultured bacterium. Its description in RNAcentral is "bacterial SSU rRNA". It matches the Rfam family "Bacterial small subunit ribosomal RNA", at positions 354 to 796 of the family's 1533-position model. The record is from RNAcentral.